RNAcentral lists this ribosomal RNA (365 nucleotides) under Chloroflexota bacterium. RNAcentral's name for it is "bacterial SSU rRNA". It matches the Rfam family "Bacterial small subunit ribosomal RNA", at positions 1 to 359 of the family's 1533-position model. The record is from RNAcentral. Lineage: Bacteria; Bacillati; Chloroflexota.
UUUGCGGAGAGUUUGAUCCUGGCUCAGGAUGAACGCUGGCGGCGUGCUUAAUACAUGCAAGUCGAACGAAGAGCCUUUGUAGCAAUACGGAGGUUUCUUAGUGGCGAACGGGUGCGUAACGCGUUGGUGACCUGCCCCGAAGUGUGGGAUAACAGUUCGAAAGGACUGCUAAUACCGCAUGUGGUCAUUGGGUUUAGAAGCCGAUGACUAAAGCAGUAAUGCGCUUCGGGAGGGACCUGCGUCCCAUCAGCUAGUUGGUGAGGUAACGGCCCACCAAGGCUACGACGGGUAGGGGACCUGAGAGGGUGGUCCCCCACACUGGCACUGAAACACGGGCCAGACACCUACGGGUGGCAGCAGUAGGG